AGUAUUCUAAGGCGCGUGGAAGAACUCUCUUUAAGGAACUCUGCAAAAUAGCACCGUAUCUUCGGUAUAAGGUGUGGUUCGCUUCGUACUAGGAUUUACUCCGAAAGCGAAGAAACUUACAACAAAGAGUCCCUCCCGACUGUUUACCAAAAACACAGCACUCUGCUAACUCGUAAGAGGAUGUAUAGGGUGUGACGCCUGCCCGGUGCUCGAAGGUUAAUUGAUGGGGUUAGCAUUAGCGAAGCUCUUGAUCGAAGCCCGAGUAAACGGCGGCCGUAACUAUAACGGUCCUAAGGUAGCGAAAUUCCUUGUCGGUUAAAUACCGACCUGCAUGAAUGGCGUAACGAGAUGGGAGCUGUCUCAAAGAGGGAUCCAGUGAAAUUGUAGUGGAGGUGAAAAUUCCUCCUACCCGCGGCAAGACGGAAAGACCCCGUGGACCUUUACUACAGCUUGACACUGCUACUUGGAUAAGAAUGUGCAGGAUAGGUGGGAGGCUUUGAGUAUAUGACGCCAGUUGUAUAUGAGCCAUUGUUGAGAUACCACUCUUUCUUAUUUGGGUAGCUAACCAGCUUGAGUUAUCCUCAAGUGGGACAAUGUCUGGUGGGUAGUUUGACUGGGGCGGUCGCCUCCCAAAUAAUAACGGAGGCUUACAAAGGUUGGCUCAGAACGGUUGGAAAUCGUUCGUAGAGUAUAAAGGUAUAAGCCAGCUUAACUGCAAGACAUACAAGUCAAGCAGAGACGAAAGUCGGUCUUAGUGAUCCGGUGGUUCUGUGUGGAAGGGCCAUCGCUCAAAGGAUAAAAGGUACCCCGGGGAUAACAGGCUGAUCUCCCCCAAGAGCUCACAUCGACGGGGAGGUUUGGCACCUCGAUGUCGGCUCAUCGCAUCCUGGGGCUGGAGCAGGUCCCAAGGGUAUGGCUGUUCGCCAUUUAAAGCGGUACGCGAGCUGGGUUCAGAACGUCGUGAGACAGUUCGGUCCCUAUCUGCCGUGGGCGUAAGAAGAUUGAAGAGAUUUGACCCUAGUACGAGAGGACCGGGUUGAACAAACCACUGGUGUAGCUGUUGUUCUGCCAAGAGCAUCGCAGCGUAGCUAAGUUUGGAAAGGAUAAACGCUGAAAGCAUCUAAGCGUGAAGCCAACUCUAAGAUGAAUCUUCUCUAAGCUCUCUAGAAGACUACUAGUUUGAUAGGCUGGGUGUGUAAUGGAUGAAAGUCCUUUAGCUGACCAGUACUAAUAGAGCGUUUGGCUUAUCUUUAAUAAAGCAU
Molecule: ribosomal RNA, 1262 nt
Filed under: Campylobacter jejuni
Lineage: Bacteria; Pseudomonadati; Campylobacterota; Epsilonproteobacteria; Campylobacterales; Campylobacteraceae
Description: partial 23S ribosomal RNA
Rfam family: Bacterial large subunit ribosomal RNA
Source: RNAcentral